CUUCCUUUCAGGGUGCCAAGGUCCCCCAAGCCCCAGAUUCUUCAGGGAAAAAUCCAGCAAAGCCCACUCCUCCUGGAUGAAGUUCCAGCCACAUCUUCAAAGACCACCAAGCCGUGACACAUCCCAGAUAUGUGCAGAGGAGGACAGAUGGGUUAUCCACCUGGCUGGUGCCAUGUUGCCUAUUCCUUUAGUGUACACAUGGUGACAAACGAAAGGGAUGAUGAAGCUUCCAGGUUGAACAGGUAUGACCCCGAGGUAGCCCUUUUCUGUUGGCACAGCUUUUGGCAUUCACCCGUGCAAGCUCCCAGCUCGCUUAUCUAUGUUUGCGGCCUGAUUUUUCAGGCUGCUCUCUGUUAGAAAAGAAAUGAUUUGGGGGCUGCUUUUUGUUAAAAGGAAAGCCUUGCCAAGGACUCCUUUAGCCUCACUAUCUGCCUAAAUAAUUUCUUUCUAGCUCUUG
Molecule: long non-coding RNA, 457 nt
Organism: Cebus imitator (Panamanian white-faced capuchin)
Lineage: Eukaryota; Metazoa; Chordata; Mammalia; Primates; Cebidae
Exons: 3
Source: RefSeq, a predicted model, not a curated record